ACCAAAGAGGCUGCGCCCAAUGAAUGCCCGCCACGUGUGGCGUAAGGAAGCUGAUUGGUGGGAUCCCCUUGUGGGUUGCACCGCCGACUGACCCUGAUCUUCUGUGAAGUGUUUGAGUGAGAGCAUACCUGUCGGGACCCGAAAAAUGGUGAACUAUGCCUGCACGGGGCGAAGCCAGAGGAAACUCUGGUGGAGGCCCGCAGUGAUAAUGUCGUGCAAAUCGUUCGUCUAACUUGGGUAUAAGGGUGAAAGACUAAUCGAACCGUCUAGUAGUUGGUUCCCUCCGAAGUUUCCCUUAGGAUAGUUGGAGCCCGCGGGCGAGUUCUAUCGGGUAAAGCCAAUGAUUAGAGGCAUCAGGGGUGCAAUGCCCUCGACCUAUUCUCAAACUUUAAAUAGGUAGGACGGUGCGGCUGCUCUGUUGAGCCGUGCCACGGAAUCAAGAGCUCCAAGUGGGCCAUUUUUGGUAAGCAGAACUGGCGAUGCGGGGUGAAUCGGAAGCUAGGUUACGAUGCCUAACUACGCAUUAACCUAGACCCCACAAAGGGUGUUGGUCGAUUAAGAUAGCAGGACGGUGGUCAUGGAAGUCGAAAUCCACUAAGGAGUGUGUAACAACUCACCUGCUGAAUCAACUAGCCCCAAAAAUGAAUGGCGCUAAAGCGCGCGACCUAUACCCGGCCGCCGGGGCAAGGACCAAGCCCCGAUGAAUAGAAGGACGCGGCGGUCGCUGCAAAACCCAAGGCGUGAGCUCGGGCAAAGCGGUCGUCGGUGCAUAUCUUUAUGGUAGUACAAAAUAUUCAAAUGAGAACUUUGAAGGCCGAAGAGGGUAAAGGUUCCAUGUGAACGACACUUGCACAUGGGUUAGUCGAUCCUAAGGGAUGGGGGAAGCCCAUCUGAUAGCGCUUUCAGCGCGUACUCCGAAAGGGAAUCGGGUUAAAAUUCCUGAACCGGGACGUGGCGGCUGACGACAACGUUAGAGAGUCCGGAGGUGUCAGCGAGGGCCCCGAAAAGAGUUAUCUUUUCUGUUUAACAGCUUGCCUACCUUGGAAAUGGCUCAGCCAGAGGUAGGGUCCAGCGGCUAAAAGAGCACCGCACGUCGCGUGGUGUCGGGUGCGCCCCCGGCAGCCCUUGAAAAUUGAUAACAGUUGAAAAACUGUUAUUUUUAUACUUAAAAUUGACGUCAAUUACAACCUUUAUGACUAAGAAAUUAGCUUGAACUCAUGAUUUUGUUGAAUUGUUAGAAAUAAGAGAGUUGAAUGUGAAUUUAAUGGUUUUGUGCUACAUUCCCUUGAUUUGGUAGGCUAAUUGAAUUGUUUGAAAGAAGAGUUGAAGUACGGAAUGAUUGGAAUGCAGAAAAGUCAACCAGUCAACCAGCAAAGUCAACCAGUCAACCAGUCAACCAGAAUGCAAAAAAGUCAACCAGAGUGUAGAAAAAGUUGCAAUCGAGUGGCGUUGAGCGGUAAUUUCCGCUGAGCACUAGUUUUCAGGUGUCGAAAUCACCAUUGAGGGGCAAAAAACAGCAGUUGAGGGGAAAAACUAAGGUGUCGCCCUUGCCGCUGAGCGGUAAAAACCAUUGAGCAACACUUUUCUCGGUUUGGGCCUACUUUUAUGUAUUUUUUAGAAUAUUAUAUAAGCUUUAGGAUGUUCUAGGGUUUGUAUCUUUGGCUGGAACGAAGCAAGAAUGCACUCUUUCACCCCUUGGAGGAGGAUUUUGGAUGAUAAGGCUCCUUUCUCAACUUUCUAGGGUUCUAUCCUUCACUUUUCCAUUGUAUUUCAUCUAGUUUCACCAUGAAUAUUGGGAACUAAACUUAUUUUGUUGUUGGGGAAUCAACCCCAACAUAUUACAAACCUAGACAUAGGAGUAUGAUGGUUGGUUUCCUUUAAGCUUUUGUGCUUCAGAAUUAAUUAUUAGGGAUGCUAGGAAUUGUAUGAACUCAUAAUUAAGGAUAGGCUUUCUUCACCGAGACAUCGGGUUUAAAGUAAUUUAGAAAGUGGCAUUAACAUUAAUGAAAAGAAUGAUGAAUUCCUACAUACAAGAGAGUGGAUAAGAUGAAAUUAAUAAACCCCAACAACAUAUUCAUCCAUAUAUUUCAAUUCACGUGUUUUGUUUCUUCUUGCCCAUUGAUCAACACAUGCAUACAUAUUUACUUUUCAGUCUUUUGGAUUUGAAACUUACAACAAUUUGUUCACAAGUCUUAAUUAAUCAACAAAAUCACACAACUGUCUAGGCUGUGAGUCCUUUGGGAGAACGAUACUUGGUCUUACCAGGUUUAUUACUUGAUAUGAUUCGGUUACACUUGCCGAGGGUUAACCAGCUUUUGAGUCCGUUUUCGGGGAUUAAAAAUUUGUGCAUCAAAAAUCCAGAGGACCAAGUGCCUCCCACGCCCGGUCGUACUCAUAACCGCAUCCAGUCUCCAAGGUGAACAGCCUCUCGUC
This is a ribosomal RNA of Vigna angularis (adzuki bean), 2433 nucleotides long. It matches the Rfam family "Eukaryotic large subunit ribosomal RNA", at positions 665 to 1888 of the family's 3401-position model. Lineage: Eukaryota; Viridiplantae; Streptophyta; Magnoliopsida; Fabales; Fabaceae. The record is from Rfam.